AAGUGCUUACAGCUCUUUUUGAAUUUGUCUAGUAUGUCUUCCGGUUUUAUAUUGGAAGGUCCUC
Small nuclear RNA from Pipistrellus kuhlii (Kuhl's pipistrelle), 64 nucleotides. RefSeq annotates it as U7 small nuclear RNA. The record is from RefSeq and is a predicted model, not a curated record. Lineage: Eukaryota; Metazoa; Chordata; Mammalia; Chiroptera; Vespertilionidae. The transcript has a single exon.